GUACGCCAAAGAGGUCAUGGUCCGGGCAACCCCCGGUGAAAAGGGAACGUGGUGAAAUCCCACGACUGCCCCCGCAACUGUAAACGGCGAGCGUGUUCGGCAUAUGCCACUGGGAAACCGGGAAGGCCCGAUACACGCCCCGACCCGCAAGUCAGGAGACCUGCCGUGACAGAUCACCCUAC
RNAcentral lists this non-coding RNA (182 nucleotides) under Marivita cryptomonadis. The record is from RNAcentral. Lineage: Bacteria; Pseudomonadati; Pseudomonadota; Alphaproteobacteria; Rhodobacterales; Roseobacteraceae.